RNAcentral lists this ribosomal RNA (397 nucleotides) under Ecdyonurus dispar. RNAcentral's name for it is "partial 12S ribosomal RNA". It matches the Rfam family "Bacterial small subunit ribosomal RNA", at positions 768 to 1405 of the family's 1533-position model. Lineage: Eukaryota; Metazoa; Arthropoda; Insecta; Ephemeroptera; Heptageniidae. The record is from RNAcentral.
UAAACUACGAUUAGAUACCCUAUUAUUCUAAGCGUUAAAUUUGAACCAGAGUAGUAAGAGUUAUGAGCUUGAAACUCAAAGAAUUUGGCGGUGUUUUAGUCCAUUCAGAGGAACCUGUCCCGUAAUCGAUAAUCCACGUUUACUUAACUUAAAUUUGUUUUCAGCUUGUAUACCGCCGUCAAAAGAGUGAUUCGAGAGAAUAUCCUCCAAUACUUUAAUUAAGGUUUAUGUCAGGUCAAGGUGCAGCUUAUGUUUAAGGGGAGAUGGGUUACAAUAAGGAUACUUAUACGGAUGCUUGGUUGAAAUUCUAGGCUGAAGGUGGAUUUGAGUGUAACAAUAUUUAGGGAAAAGUUAUGAAAGUGGCUCUAAAACAAGCACACAUCGCCCGUCGCUCUUA